RNAcentral lists this ribosomal RNA (560 nucleotides) under fungal sp. Sen009. Its description in RNAcentral is "eukaryotic LSU rRNA". The stretch from base 253 to 406 matches the Rfam family "5.8S ribosomal RNA". Lineage: Eukaryota; Fungi. RNAcentral also lists the same sequence under 1 other name. The record is from RNAcentral.
CCUGCGGAAGGAUCAUUACUAGAGCAAAGGAUAGACAGCGCCCGCGGAGCUCGCUCCCGGGGCUACCCUACUCCCGUAGGGUUUAGAGUCGUCGGGCCUCUCGGAGAAGCUCGGUCCUGAACUCCACCCUUGAAUAAACUACCUUUGUUGCUUUGGCGGGCCGCCUCGUGCCAGCGGCUUCGGCUGUUGAGUGCCCGCCAGAGGACCCCAACUCUUGUUUUUAGUGAUGUCUGAGUACUAUAUAAUAGUUAAAACUUUCAACAACGGAUCUCUUGGUUCUGGCAUCGAUGAAGAACGCAGCGAAAUGCGAUAAGUAAUGUGAAUUGCAGAAUUCAGUGAAUCAUCGAAUCUUUGAACGCACAUUGCGCCCUCUGGUAUUCCGGGGGGCAUGCCUGUUCGAGCGUCAUUAUAACCACUCAAGCUCUCGCUUGGUAUUGGGGUUCGCGGUUUCGCGGCCCCUAAAAUCAGUGGCGGUGCCUGUCGGCUCUACGCGUAGUAAUACUCCUCGCGAUUGAGUCCGGUAGGUCUACUUGCCAGCAACCCCUAAUUUUUUUUAAGGU